Molecule: long non-coding RNA, 5437 nt
Organism: Culex quinquefasciatus (southern house mosquito)
Lineage: Eukaryota; Metazoa; Arthropoda; Insecta; Diptera; Culicidae
Exons: 2
Source: RefSeq, a predicted model, not a curated record
UAGCAACUUUUAAGCCAUAGAAAAGUAUCGAUAAUUUUUUUUUGAAAAUAUGUGUUUUUUUGGGAAUUAUCACAUUGCCUGUAUAAAUUUUACCUUCAAAAAAUUUCAAAAUUUAGCAAACUGUGGAUUUUGGGAAAUUGCUUUUUUUUGCGGAAAAAAACAAACAUUUUUUUCUGAAUAGUUCUCAUCAAUAUUUACAACUUUGCCGAAAACACCAAACCCAAUCAGAAAAUUCUUCCGAAAGACACAGAUUUUCGGAAAUUUACGUACCAAAAAAGUUUGAGCCAAUAACAAAAAUACAUUACAAAAUAAAAUGCACAAAAUCGGCCGAUUUAGUAGAGAAUUGCUCAUUUGGAGCUCACGCACACAAACUUGAAGUGUGUAGCAACGUAGCUAGGCUGACAACGACGAUCUGUUGGUCUAAAAUACAUUCAAUCGUUCUUUUAACAUUUAACAGUCAAACAAUCUUUUAAAAUUAUUAUUUUGACUUUAAUGCAAUAUUUUUCGACAGCAUAUUUUGUAUGGAUCGAAAACUAUUUUGCAAGCUUUGCAAACUGUCAAACACGAAAAAGUGCGAGUUUGUUUGUUUGUUAUGUCAGCCAACAUUCGCAGGGCUUUGACAGCUCGAGCUCGCACGGUUACUAAAAAUCGCACUUUUGGGAGUUCAGAAAUCGCACUUUUGACAGUUCGCUUAAACGAACUGAAAAAAGUGUGAUUUCGCGAACUCGAAAAAUGGUAAAAAUCGCCAAAAAAAGAGUUCAGUUAAGCGAACUCCUAAAAGUGCGAUUUUGGACUUAGCGAAAUUUUUUAAAUUCGUUGAAACGUUUCGUCUUGAAUAUUUAUUGUUAGUUUGUUUUUGCGCUCCGGAGCUUCGGGAUGAUUUUCGGGUAAGUAAAACGGACGGAAUACUUCACAAGAUUUUGCAAAAGGAAUCUGUCCACCGGUGGACGGAUUGCCUGUCAAUGUUUGGCGAGAAGGUGGACGGAACACUGGACAAAGUUUUGCAAGAGAAAUCCGUCCACCGGAGGACGGAUUGCCUGCCAUUUUUUGGCGAAAAGGUUCUGUCCUCCGAUGGACGGAUUACUGGAAAAAAAAUGCAAGAGGAAUCCAUCCGCCGGGGAAGGAUUGCCUGCCAAAGUUGACGAGAAGAUUCGGUCCACCGGUGGACGUAAUAUUGGAAAGUGUUUUGCAAGAGGAAUCUGUCCGCCGGUGGACGGAUUGCCUGCCAAUGAUUGGCGAGAAGGUGGACGGAAUACUGGACAAAGUUUUGCAAGAGGAAUCUGUCCGCCGGUGGACGGAUUGCCUGCCAAUGUUGACUGGAAAGUUUGGUCCACGGGUGGACGGAAUACUUCACAAGAUUUUGCAAAAGGAAUCUGUCCACCGGUGGACGGAUUGGCUGUCAAUUUUGGCGAAAAGGUUCGGUCCACCGGUGGACAGAUUACUGGACAAGGUUUUGCAAGAGGAAUCCGUCCACUGGUGGACGGAUUGCCUGCCAAUGGUUGAGAAGGUGGACGAAACACUGGACAAAGUUUCGCAAGAGGAAUCCGUCCACCGGAGAACGGAUUGCCUGCCAAUUUUUGGCGAAAAGGUUCUGUCCUCCGGUAGACGGAUUAAUGGACAAUGUUUUGCAAGAGGAAUCCGUCCACCAGUGGACGGAUUGCAUGCCAAUGUUGGUGAAAUGGUUCGGACCACCGGUGGACGGAUUACUGGACAAGGUUUGCAAGAGGAAUCCGUCCGCCGGAGCACAACAAUGUUUUGCAAGAGUAAUCUUGGUUAUGUUUGCAAGAGGAACUUUUAUUCUGACGGAUGAUUUUUUUUUCGUAAUUUUUGCAGAUGGAACCGGUCUACCUACACCAAAAUGGACACCGCGCCACCGUCAGGUUUCCGGUCUGUAAUUACCCCCUCUUGGUGAAUGCCAGCCUACGCCGAGAUGCUGGUAUCGCUGAGUCCGCCGGUGCAAAACUACUUGCUAACCGACUACAUCGCCAAACGGUCGACCCACUGCGGCCAGCGUCCCUGCAGCUGACCCCGCCGCCGCGGCGCCGUCAACCGACGCCCUUCAAUCCGUUGCAAAAAUGCCCGCCUCGCCGCGGCGAUAAUUCCUGGUGGCGCGUCCGGAAGAUCUGAGAAGGGCCUUUCAGAGAUUCGCGCUUUCUUCGACAAAAACCGCGCAAGUCAAGUACGACCAGCAGGCCGCGAAACACGAGGAGUUUGUGGAACUUUAUCCGGGACACUAGCGUGACGGACCGGUUCGAGGAGUUUCCGAUGCUGCGAGAUAAGAUCCUGCGGACAACAAGUUGAUCUCCAGCAACUUUUGCGAUGUUGACCACACGAUGACGAGGGAACGGAUGAGAAGAAUCAGGACGUGACCACUUCAACUUUAAACGUGAUGGACACGGACCACUAACUGAUGCGUUCGUCGCUGAUUCGUCACCAGUCGUUCUUCCCUGGUUCUUCCGGUAGUUCGACUCGAAGGUGUCAAAGAUAACUCAGCUUGGCAACUAGUAACGUGCUCCAGACGUAUGUAGCCCAAACGGCGGGUUCGGUCGUUGUCAGCGACACCGGCCGGAGGCGCAUUUAAUUGAGAACACGGUUCCGGCAUCCCCGGGAAGGCCGAGACACGCCAAAGAAAUCCGUCCUCCGGAGGAUCAGUUUCUCAUGCCAACAUGUUUGGAGGUGGAAUCUGGCCAAAGUUGAGAACAGUUUUGGUCGGUCUUGAGCCUGUACCCUCGUCGAACACGAAGUUGGUCGCUCUAAAUCCGCUACGACCUGUUCUAGGCUGUAUUAACUGAUCUUUAACUUGCUUUAUUCUUCUUUUAGGCGAUCCACGACCUGACGGCCUUAACCCGGUACGCUCCUUGAAAUCAUUUGCCAUCGGCGAACUCGGACUUGGUCGCCUUCAACCCGGUAUGACCUAUUCUGUUCUGUAUGAAUUAAUCUAGAACUUGUUUUGUGGUUCUUCUAGGCGAUCCACGAUCUGCGAUAGAUUCCGCCAACAUCCUGUGAUAGACCUCGUGCGCGAUCAAUCCUGACCCGGUACGUCAAAUUCCAUCACAAUCUGCGGUAGAUCUCGUGCGCAGUCGGAUAAGAUGAUGUCCGGGGACGGCGAUGUCAUCAACGAUGGCGCAACCAUUUUGAAGCUGAUAGAUGUAGAUCACGAGAUCGGCAAGCUGAUGGUGCAGCUGUCGCAGUCACAAGACAGCGAGAUCGGAGACCGGGGAAUUCAUCCGAUUCGUAUUGCCGAUGGGUUGAGCUGGCGGCGCAGUGCUCGAUCAAACACAUGGACUCGAUCGCAAGUCCAUUUCCGAUUUCGCUAGACAACAAAGAACCGCUGAUCCAUUUGGCGAUGACGGCUCGUAAGAUCGUGAACAAGUGCCACGAUGGCGACGACGAUGGCGGAGAUUGCCGUGGAUGCGGUGCUGACCGUGGCGGAUUUGGUAAAGCGAUGACCAUUAGACCGGAACUCGCCUGUUGUCGUCAUCGUGCUUCCGGCCUUUUUCACCGUUCCCAAAAUUCUCAGCGGAGACAAGCAAUCCUAUCCGGAGCAGUAUUGAAAUUAGGCGACUUACAUUAACUCCACAAUCCAUACCUUUUGUAAUAAAUUUCCGAAUUUUGAGUAUAUUUUAUCAAUAAAUAAGCACUGCGUUGUUCAUUUCUUUUAAACAUUAAUUGUUAUUAUUUCAAUCUCGAAAGAGAAACCACAAAGCGCCCAAAGAUAGGCAACCUCUAAACCUGUGAAAUAUUUCCGCAUGCUCGAACUCGGCAAAUCAUGAAAAUCAUGAUUUUGCCAGUUCGACCCACUUUACCAAAAAAAGUGUUAUCCGAGUUGAACUUCAAAUAUCAUGAUAAUUACCAUUUUUUUGGUUUUAUUUGGUAAGCGUGCGGUCAUUGAUUGCAUCAAGAAACUGUGACGAGAAGUUCGUCAUUUUUGGGUUAAAUUAUAUUUUUUUCACUGGGCUUAGAAAGCCUUAUAUCUGCUGCUUGAGUCAAAAAUGGGAGCACAUUUUUUUUUCUGCAAAAAUUCUUACUUUUUCCGUUAAUUUUAUUUUUAUUAUUUUUAACUUUUUUAUUACUGAUGUUUAAAAGUUCAUGAAAAAACUAGUCUUUCUACCGAAAAUAUCGCCUGCGAGUGUAAACAAAAAGCAAUCUAAAGCAUUCCAAACUAAUCCAAGACAUACAUAUCAAAGUUUAUACAAGUAGCCAAGAUUAAUCCCACUUUUAAAACUUAAGUACAAUAGAGAGUAUAAAUGAAACUUAGCAUAACGAAAAAUAUUUAACCUAGCAAUUAUACGAACCUUUUUUGUCUCUUUUUGUAAAUUUAUUUAAGCGGCUCCGCGGAGGGCCCUCUAUAGCGUUUAAAAUGAGUUCCACUCUAGUUUGUAUGAAAGAAGCUUAAAGCAUCGAUGAAGAUCAAGAACUACACACACACUCGAUAAGAUAUUUGCUCAAUUUCUUGACUAACAUGUGACUGCUGUAAAUACAACUAUACUUUAAAUAUAGCCAAUGCAAACCAGCAGCAGUCGACCCUGCUUAGCCAAGCGCCGUGUAACACGAACUUAGUUAAUAAUGUUGUGCUUAGUUUGUUAAGGAAAAAAACCUUUAAACUCUGUUAAGUUUAAAAAAUGACCCAUUAUCAUAUUUACCUGUUUGUUUUAAGUUAAAAUUGUUUAAUUUUAUGUGCAAAUGUUUAACAACAACAAAUAUCACGACACGUCUUCCAAAAGCAAGCAAUCAAAAAUUAAGAACAACAACAAAAGUUCAAUGCGAUUUCGAGAAAUGCCUUAAUUUAUAAAAUUCAUUAAGUUUAGUACCAAGCAACAAUCAUGCGCCCCCCUAACGUAGUAAAUUAUCCUUGAGAAGAAACUAAAAAAGAACGUAUAUUUUACCCCUUAAGUUUACGUAACGUUACAAACGCUCAAGAACAAUCGCAAUCACGUGUGCAAAUUUUUAGGAAGAAGAAGAAAAUCUCGAAUCGAAUCGGUGCUGUUCCGUUUUCGUUUGCGAACAUUAUUUGCUCAACUUAGAAAAAGAGAAGAAAAAAAAAAUAACCAACUAACUAAAAACUAAGGAUUUCAAAGCAAUACAACCAAGAGGAACGUCGUUAAAAAGCAAGCGGCAAAAAAAAACAGCAAAGAAACAGGUGUGCCUGAUGAUUGUGAACAAAAUUUGAGUAGAGAGAGAAAGUGAGAGCAAAAAUAGCAAUGUUGACUUGUUUAACAGUUUUGUUGUACUUUUUAGGACAUGUUGAAGGAUGUUGUUUGUAAGAGGAUUUAUAUUAUAUUAUGUGUAUAAACGAUAUUGAAAACGCAACGGGGAAGAAGCGUGCGACAAGUGAAGUGAAAGAUUUGAAAGUUGGAAUCGAUGUGCUGUGCAAUAGAAUGGCCCAAUUAAAACCGUUAUUCACGAAAUAAAUGCAAUUUUUAUGUUAGUGAACAGG